UUAUCUUUUGUUUGAUUCAGACACAAAUAACUGAUUGUAGCAUAAAGGCGACGCCAAAGCGCCGAAGCACAUUUUUUGCUUCCACAGGUUUGAGGGGUAGAAGGUCAAAGACCAUUCAAUAAUGAUCCCUCCGCAGGUUCACCUACGGAGA
RNAcentral lists this unclassified non-coding RNA (151 nucleotides) under uncultured fungus. RNAcentral describes it as "sequence contains ITS1". The record is from RNAcentral. Lineage: Eukaryota; Fungi.